GACACGACUCUCGGCAAUGGAUAUCUCGGCUCUCGCAUCGAUGAAGAGCGCAGCGAAAUGCGAUACGUGGUGCGAAUUGCAGAAUCCCGCGAACCAUCGAGUCUUUGAACGCAAGUUGCGCCCGAGGCCAACCGGCCGAGGGCGCGUCCGCCUGGGCGUCAAGC
This 164-nucleotide ribosomal RNA is filed under the name Dendrobium macrophyllum. RNAcentral's name for it is "5.8S ribosomal RNA". It matches the Rfam family "5.8S ribosomal RNA". Rfam says of the family: 5.8S ribosomal RNA (5.8S rRNA) is a component of the large subunit of the eukaryotic ribosome. Lineage: Eukaryota; Viridiplantae; Streptophyta; Magnoliopsida; Asparagales; Orchidaceae. The record is from RNAcentral.